This 837-nucleotide long non-coding RNA is filed under the name Sus scrofa (pig). Its description in RNAcentral is "lncRNA (ENSSSCG00065076658.1)". Lineage: Eukaryota; Metazoa; Chordata; Mammalia; Artiodactyla; Suidae. The record is from RNAcentral.
CCACAGGAGCAAGGGGUCCGGGGGCGGGGGGGCCCUAGAGACUCCGCGGCCUAGAAGCGCUUUCAUUUUGUAAUUAAUGUUCCUGAACUUGGGGAGAGCGAGAAAGGCGCGUGCGGACCGGGGAAAAGGUCAUUUUGCUUCACAGAUAUGUGUACUCUUUCUUCUGAAACUGCCAGAUUUCAUCAUGACAAGAUGCACCAGUUAAGGACACUGCUGCCAGCCUGCCCCAGGCCGAAAGACUGUGCGGUGUCCCCAGGUCGCUCUGUGACUCGGGGGCAGGAAGCAGAUGUGGGCACAGGUCAGGGGACCAGCCUGGGUCAUGAGAGCCAGGGCCAGUACCAUGCAAUUUGCUCAUUUUGUCCAGUCCCAAGGGGCCAUGUGAAUUGCCCAAGGUCACACUGCAAGAGGCAAAGCCAUCAGAAAACCUAGUGUCCUGACUCCCAGGCACUGUUCUUUCUACUGGGUUUUCUUUGAUUGUCAAAAAUAAGAGCAAAACAAAAACACUCUUGGUUAUUUAAAUUCCAAUCAUGAGUCAAGGAAAGAGUUUUAAAAUUAAUCUUUUUCACAACCAAGACCAAUUAAUCAACUCUUGCAUCAUGAGUUGCCUUCGUUUUUUGAUUUGCCUAAAUUACAAAUUGCUUUUUAAAUUGUAACUUGCAAAUUUAUUCAUGAAAAAUGUUUUUAAAAGCAAAAAUUUGGUAUCAGCUUAAGUGUCUCCAAAUAGGAUAAUGGGCAAGUAAAUGAAGAUGUAUCUCCCCAGUGGGAAAUUAUGCAUUUCUUAAACUCAAUACUAUGGAAAGUUUGUAAUAAAGUAGAAAAUGCUUAGCUGUAACACUC